This 234-nucleotide unclassified non-coding RNA is filed under the name fungal sp. RNAcentral describes it as "partial contains small subunit ribosomal RNA, internal transcribed spacer 1, and 5.8S ribosomal RNA". The stretch from base 1 to 46 matches the Rfam family "Eukaryotic small subunit ribosomal RNA", at positions 1786 to 1831 of the family's 1831-position model. The record is from RNAcentral. Lineage: Eukaryota; Fungi. RNAcentral also lists the same sequence under 1 other name.
AAGUCGUAACAAGGUCUCCGUUGGUGAACCAGCGGAGGGAUCAUUACUGAGUGUAAAAACUCCCAAACCACUGUGAACAUACCAUGUUGCUUCGGCGGUUCCCGUCCUGUCCUGCCUCACCGCGAGCCAGGCCGGGCCGCCGCCGGAGGACCCAAACUCUUGUCUUUAUAGUGACUUUCUGAGUGGCAUAAGCAAAAUAAAUCAAAACUUUCAGCAACGGAUCUCUUGGUUCUG